Molecule: long non-coding RNA, 567 nt
Organism: Oncorhynchus nerka (sockeye salmon)
Lineage: Eukaryota; Metazoa; Chordata; Actinopteri; Salmoniformes; Salmonidae
Exons: 2
Source: RefSeq, a predicted model, not a curated record
AGCCUAUCGAACAUGUCGGGACAUCGGGUGCAGUUCGCGGACCAGCUUCCUUCCACUGACCGCAAAGCCAGCCCCAACUUACACAGAACCAUCAACACGGCUAGCUAGCCUAUCUUCAAAGAGGCAUCUUCCAGAGCGAAUGGAAGGAGAAUCAACUCUGUAGUUCUGUUCAGGACUACACGUCAAGUCACCGGAUACCGGACAACUGCAGAGGAGAACAACAGUAGAAUAUUUGUUGAACCAUUUUGGGACAAUCGGAGCCUUACAAGCGUGCCACGAAAAGGCAUUUUCAUGUAAAUACAUUAACGAUUUCUUAUUCCAAGCGGGCGGCAGUUCGUGUGCAAAGUAUAAGACUACUCUAAGUGAGAGUAGUUUCUAAAUGUACCAACGUUAAGUGUCUCUGUCCCUCCCCUCUCUCUCUCUCUCUCUCUCUCUUGCCCUCCAUGUCUUUUGUAAAAAGCAGCCAUAUUGUUGUCAGUCCGCUAGGGACCUGUUUUUAAUGUAUUACGUGUGUAUAUUUAUCAUGUGUUACCAUUUAAUUAGCUAGGAAAUAAAUAAUUAAACCAA